RNAcentral lists this ribosomal RNA (478 nucleotides) under uncultured bacterium. RNAcentral describes it as "partial 16S ribosomal RNA". It matches the Rfam family "Bacterial small subunit ribosomal RNA", at positions 28 to 507 of the family's 1533-position model. The record is from RNAcentral.
GACGAACGCUGGCGGCGUGCUUAACACAUGCAAGUCGAACGGGAUUUAGUAGACAGAAGCCUCGGCUAAAGAUUACUAAUGAGAGUGGCGAACGGGUUAGUAACGCGUGAGCAACCUGCCUAUGACAGUGGGAUAGCCUCGGGAAACCGGGAUUAAUACCGCAUAAAAUCGUAGAAACACAUGUUUUAACGGUCAAAGAUUUAUCGGUCAUAGAUGGGCUCGCGUCUGAUUAGCUAGUUGGUGAGAUAACAGCCCACCAAGGCGACGAUCAGUAGCCGGUCUGAGAGGAUGAACGGCCACAUUGGAACUGAGACACGGUCCAAACUCCUACGGGAGGCAGCAGUGGGGAAUAUUGCACAAUGGGGGAAACCCUGAUGCAGCGACGCCGCGUGAACGAAGAAGGUAUUCGUAUCGUAAAGUUCUGUCCUAUGGGAAGAUAAUGACAGUACCAUAGAAGAAAGCUCCGGCUAAAUACGUG